RNAcentral lists this ribosomal RNA (508 nucleotides) under uncultured bacterium. Its description in RNAcentral is "bacterial SSU rRNA". It matches the Rfam family "Bacterial small subunit ribosomal RNA", at positions 28 to 533 of the family's 1533-position model. The record is from RNAcentral.
GAUAAACGCUGGCGGCAUGCCUAACACAUGCAAGUCGAACGGAGCGCCUUGGAAGGAGACUUCGGUCAACGGAAGAGGAGGCUUAGUGGCGGACGGGUGAGUAACGCGUGAGGAACCUGCCUCAGAGAGGGGGAUAACACACCGAAAGGUGUGCUAAUACCGCAUAACAUAUAAGAGGGGCAUCCCUUUCAUAUCAAAGAUUUAUUGCUCUGAGAUGGCCUCGCGUCCAAUUAGCUAGUUGGUGAGGUAACGGCCCACCAAGGCGACGAUUGGUAGCCGGACUGAGAGGUUGAACGGCCACAUUGGGACUGAGACACGGCCCAGACUCCUACGGGAGGCAGCAGUGGGGAAUAUUGCACAAUGGGGGGAACCCUGAUGCAGCAAUGCCGCGUGAAGGAUGAAGGUUUUCGGAUUGUAAACUUCUUUUGUACGGGACGAAGAAAGUGACGGUACCGUAAGAAUAAGCCACGGCUAACUACGUGCCAGCAGCCGCGGUAAUACGUAGGUG